GUGCCAGCCGCCGCGGUAAUACGGAGGGUGCGAGCGUUGUCCGGAAUCACUGGGCGUAAAGGGCGCGUAGGUGGCCCGUGGAAGUCUGCGGUGAAAGCCCGGCGCUCAACGCCGGGUCGGCCGUGGAUACUCUCGGGCUUGAGCUCACUAGAGGCAGAUGGAAUUCCGGGUGUAGCGGUGGAAUGCGUAGAGAUCCGGAAGAACACCGGUGGCGAAGGCGGUCUGCUGGGGUGAGGCUGACACUGAUGCGCGACAGCGUGGGGAGCAAACAGGAUUAGAUACCCUUGUAGUCC
RNAcentral lists this ribosomal RNA (293 nucleotides) under uncultured bacterium. Its description in RNAcentral is "partial 16S ribosomal RNA". It matches the Rfam family "Bacterial small subunit ribosomal RNA", at positions 505 to 796 of the family's 1533-position model. The record is from RNAcentral.